RNAcentral lists this long non-coding RNA (1235 nucleotides) under Zea mays. RNAcentral describes it as "long non-coding RNA (ZMAY_LNC004417)". The record is from RNAcentral. Lineage: Eukaryota; Viridiplantae; Streptophyta; Magnoliopsida; Poales; Poaceae.
UGGAGUUUCAUCUAACUACUUACCAGAGUAGAAUAAUUUUGGGAUCUUCUCCUGCAAUAAGGCAAGCCCCGGUGCAUUUGCCACCUUCCUUGUGUUUACAAAAUUUUUAUCACUUAUAUGUUGCAUUAGGUUAUAGGAGUUGAUUGAUCAAACCCUUGAUGCAUUACCAUCCUUGAAAGCUUGAUUACCAUACCUUGUUACCUAUUUAAUAAAAGCUAGUGAUGCUUAGUCAUGCUGAUAGAUUAAGAAAAAUGUUUUUGAUCUAUGACUCAUGUUUUUAUAAAAAAAUGGGCUUGGGAUAAUGAAGGCAUCAAGACGUUGAUAAAUUCAUUAUCCAGGCAUGGCCCCUCUGUCAGGCGCCAAAGUUUUGAAAUAGUUUAAAAUGAGACCAGACACUGAGCAGGAAAAGUCGCCCGUCUGUGUCGAUUAAGGACCGUACCGAUUGCUGGCCUGCUGAUCUAGGAUCUUUUAUCUGGCCACAUACCUCAUCAUGGGUAAGCCUGAACCCGGCUAUUUCAUACGUGAAAAUACAAUCACGCACUGGGAGUGGAGAGAUGGCGAGAGUGGCACGUACCCUCCUGGCAAAGGACCGUCUAAAAGGGGUGGUGUGCUCUCGAGUGGCGCGGACCUGUUCAUUUGAUGGAGGAUCCGUGGGAAUGGUAGACAUGUGCAAAAGAGUUAAGAGAAGCAUAUGUCGUGUGGUUGGAGAUCCCUAGCUGGGUAUUAAUCGAUUCGGAUCGCCGUUACUUCUCGGUUAUGAAGACUAGAUCUUCGACCUGCAGCGUAGUUAACAAGUAUAACAAUGUUUUGAUUAAAAGCAACCUAGUGUAGGUCAAGUGAAUGAUCUAGAUUAGGCAAAUGCUAGAUUCAGGCUAGAAGAUUCAGGUAAUAAACAAACUUGUGACAUAAAACGUGGCUUAAGGACCCACUUCUAGUAAGCUUUUCUGCAAAUUGAGUCCUUGAACUUUGAUGAGCUUUAACUUGAUUCCCAAAAGGCAGCAUACCCUUGAGAGUCUUUUCUUUAGUCGGGUAAGUCUUGCUGAGUAAUUGCAUACUCAGGGUUUUAUCCCUUGUUGUUUUUGUAGGAGAAGUUUUAUUCCCUUAUCUUUGGGUUAGUUACUUCAUGUGGAGGACUUGAAGCUUAGAAUGUUUUUAUAUAUCUCUUAUGGAAAGGCUUCACCCUUCCAAUUAUUGUAAUAAGUUAUGCACUUCGAGUACUAUCAGGACUUGUAAUA